GACCGCGUAGCUCAGUUGGAAGAGCAUUGGGCUAGUAUUCCAAAGGUCGUAGGUUCGAAUCCCGCCGUGGCCA
Non-coding RNA from Paramuricea clavata, 73 nucleotides. The record is from the annotation of a GenBank genome assembly. Lineage: Eukaryota; Metazoa; Cnidaria; Anthozoa; Malacalcyonacea; Plexauridae.